This 429-nucleotide ribosomal RNA is filed under the name uncultured bacterium. RNAcentral describes it as "bacterial SSU rRNA". It matches the Rfam family "Bacterial small subunit ribosomal RNA", at positions 32 to 440 of the family's 1533-position model. The record is from RNAcentral.
AAUCAACGCUGGCGGCGUGCCUCAGACAUGCAAGUCGAACGCGAAAGUCCCCUUCGGGGGACAAGUAGAGUGGCGCACGGGUGAGUAACACGUGGGUAAUUUACCUUCGGGUGGGGAAUAACAGUCGGAAACGACUGCUAAUACCGCAUGAUGCAGCGGCACCACAUGGUGACAGUUGUUAAAGCGGGGGAUCGCAAGACCUCGCGCCUGAAGAGAAGCCCGCGGCAGAUUAGCUAGUUGGUAAGGUAAUGGCUUACCAAGGCAACGAUCUGUAGCCGGCCUGAGAGGGCGGUCGGCCACACUGACACUGAAUAACGGGUCAGACUCCUACGGGAGGCAGCAGUCGGGAAUUUUGGGCAAUGGGCGCAAGCCUGACCCAGCAACGCCGCGUGAAGGAUGAAGUAUUUCGGUAUGUAAACUUCACAAGAA